Molecule: ribosomal RNA, 406 nt
Filed under: uncultured bacterium
Lineage: Bacteria
Description: partial 16S ribosomal RNA
Rfam family: Bacterial small subunit ribosomal RNA
Source: RNAcentral
AUUGAACGCUGGAGGCAGGCCUAACACAUGCAAGUCGAACGAGUGGCGGACGGGUGAGUAAUGUCUGGGAAACUGCCUGAUGGGGGGGGAUAACUACUGGAAACGGUAGCUAAUACCGCAUCCCAUCAGAUGUGCCCAGCUGGGAUUUGCUUGUUGGUUGGGUAACGGCUCCCCAAGGCGUCGAUCCCUAGCUGGUCUGUGAGGAUGACCACACACACUGGAACUGUGACACGUCCCAGACUCCUACGGGAGUCAGCAUGGGGGAAUAUUGCACAAUGUGCGCAAGCCUGAUUCAGCCAUGCCGCGUGUAUGAAGAAGGCCUUAGGGUUGUAAAGUACUUUCAGCGGGGGGGCGUUACCCGCAGAAGAAGCACCGACUAACUCCGUGCCAGCAGCCGCGGUAAUUC